GCAACGCGGCCUUCAUAUCCAAAACAAUCAGCCCUGUUCAUAAAAUAUCACGUGAGGAGUUAUAUAACUCCACACAAAUGCCAGCAGCAUUAACAGCAGAUGGCCGUUGGCUUACCAGGUAUGUGGAGAAUUUGUGGGAACCAGCGGUACGGGAACCAGCGGUACGGGAACCAGCGGUACGGGAACCAGCGGUACGGAAGCAUUAGGCAGGACUCCGGUUUAAAGCUGCGCAUGAAGGACAAAUGGUUCAAAUAGGAGCCAUGGACUUUGGACCCGUAAUGGAGGAAUUCAGCGGACUGUGCGCAAAAGGGAAAUAACGGUUCCCGGAGGCCCUAUAUAAAUCCGCAGGACACUGGCAGCUGGAGCAUCAGUCGAUCACGAGGAGUAAAAGCAUUAAGAUCAGAUAUCAAAGUGAAUAGUCAAACAACCAAGCAAACUACAAGGGGGCCGGAACUAUUAGAGUCGUGGGAGCCUACAAGGAGCAAGAUCGCUACGUCAAGACGUUAGGUAUUGGGAAACUAGGAAUCUCCGAAUUGAGUAGUUUAGGUCCAGAGGGCAUCACACGGCUAGGUCAAGGCAAUAUAUUUAUUCCUGUCAAAGAAAUUCUGGCGUUACGCCUGUAGAGUUUGUCGGAGUUUGAGUAGUGAAGGCCGACGACUAAAAUUCGUGAGCUCGAGGGUAAGCCUGUCUAAAUCCAGUGUGACUCGCCCCAAGCAUUACUUGGCGUGCCCAGGCGUGAGCCCCGUGCGUCCAGUGGAAUUGAGCACGUCCUGGCUCGAUCAUCCAGAAGGCUCGUGAACUUCGAUAGCGGCGUGUCCGAACCCCGAAUAUAACGAGCCAGAAGGGAAAGCGGUCGAUCAGUACGGUCUCAAGUGUAUUUUUCCAGGAGAGCGUACGGUUCCAACCCGUGAAGUCCCGGAUCGGCGUUUGCCAUAGACGCCGAUUACCAGAAGCCACACUACGUCCACACAGCCAUCAGCAAGAAUGACACCACAUCGCGACAACCACGCAAGACAGAGCGAGCCCCGCAGGAACAUCACGGACGGUAAGCUUCAGGCUUGGGUGGAACAUUCGGUUAGACUAGGCGCAGAAACGAAGUGGAGCGCGAGGCAGCUUCCUGGCGUUGGCCUUGAUUGUUAGCGCGAUCUGAGCAGAAACCCCAUCCGGGACAGAGCAAGGGACAGGCGGUCGUUCGUCUUCCCUAUCAAGCGAGCAAGUAUCUUCAGGGAGCUACAGGACUGGAGCACCAACGAGGCGAGAGGAAAUCGAGGCAACUAGAAACGUCGAAGACAUUGAGGGCCACAAGUGGCGAUAUCGAGGCCACCCAAGUUACCAAGCCGCCCGUAAUAAUACACCCGGGUUUAUUGGGUUUAUUACCCAUUUCGAACACGUGAA
Long non-coding RNA from Drosophila biarmipes, 1395 nucleotides. RefSeq lists it as uncharacterized. Lineage: Eukaryota; Metazoa; Arthropoda; Insecta; Diptera; Drosophilidae. The record is from RefSeq and is a predicted model, not a curated record. The transcript is spliced from 2 exons.